GCACCAAUGGUCUAGUGGUAGAAUAGUACCUUGCCAUAGUAUAGACCUGAGUUCGAUUCUUGGUUGGUGUA
This is a transfer RNA of Ipomoea nil (Japanese morning glory), 71 nucleotides long. It matches the Rfam family "tRNA". Rfam says of the family: Transfer RNA (tRNA) molecules are approximately 80 nucleotides in length. The record is from Rfam. Lineage: Eukaryota; Viridiplantae; Streptophyta; Magnoliopsida; Solanales; Convolvulaceae.